Non-coding RNA from Crenichthys baileyi (White River springfish), 71 nucleotides. Lineage: Eukaryota; Metazoa; Chordata; Actinopteri; Cyprinodontiformes; Goodeidae. The record is from the annotation of a GenBank genome assembly.
GGUGGCGCAGUUGGUAGCACUGUUGCCUCGCAGUAAGAAUGGUCCUGGGUUCGACUCCCGGCAGAGGGUCU